This 1443-nucleotide ribosomal RNA is filed under the name uncultured organism. RNAcentral's name for it is "partial small subunit ribosomal RNA". It matches the Rfam family "Bacterial small subunit ribosomal RNA". The record is from RNAcentral.
GCGGCGUGCUUAACACAUGCAAGUCGAACGGAAAGGCCCUGCUUUUGUGGGGUGCUCGAGUGGCGAACGGGUGAGUAACACGUGAGUAACCUGCCCUUGACUUUGGGAUAACUUCAGGAAACUGGGGCUAAUACCGGAUAGGAGCUCCUGCUGCAUGGUGGGGGUUGGAAAGUUUCGGCGGUUGGGGAUGGACUCGCGGCUUAUCAGCUUGUUGGUGGGGUAGUGGCUUACCAAGGCUUUGACGGGUAGCCGGCCUGAGAGGGUGACCGGCCACAUUGGGACUGAGAUACGGCCCAGACUCCUACGGGAGGCAGCAGUGGGGAAUAUUGCACAAUGGGCGGAAGCCUGAUGCAGCAACGCCGCGUGCGGGAUGACGGCCUUCGGGUUGUAAACCGCUUUCGCCUGUGACGAAGCGUGAGUGACGGUAAUGGGUAAAGAAGCACCGGCUAACUACGUGCCAGCAGCCGCGGUGAUACGUAGGGUGCGAGCGUUGUCCGGAUUUAUUGGGCGUAAAGGGCUCGUAGGUGGUUGAUCGCGUCGGAAGUGUAAUCUUGGGGCUUAACCCUGAGCGUGCUUUCGAUACGGGUUGACUUGAGGAAGGUAGGGGAGAAUGGAAUUCCUGGUGGAGCGGUGGAAUGCGCAGAUAUCAGGAGGAACACCAGUGGCGAAGGCGGUUCUCUGGGCCUUUCCUGACGCUGAGGAGCGAAAGCGUGGGGAGCGAACAGGCUUAGAUACCCUGGUAGUCCACGCUGUAAACGGUGGGUACUAGGUGUGGGGUCCAUUCCACGGGUUCCGUGCCGUAGCUAACGCUUUAAGUACCCCGCCUGGGGAGUACGGCCGCAAGGCUAAAACUCAAAGGAAUUGACGGGGCCCCGCACAAGCGGCGGAGCAUGCGGAUUAAUUCGAUGCAACGCGUAGAACCUUACCUGGGUUUGACAUGGAUCGGGAGUGCUCAGAGAUGGGUGUGCCUCUUUUGGGGUCGGUUCACAGGUGGUGCAUGCCUGUCGUCAGCUCGUGUCGUGAGAUGUUGGGUUAAGUCCCGCAACGAGCGCAACCCUUGUUCACUGUUGCCAGCACGUUAUGGUGGGGACUCAGUGGAGACCGCCGGGGUCAACUCGGAGGAAGGUGGGGAUGACGUCAAGUCCUCAUGCCCCUUAUGUCCAGGGCUUCACGCAUGCUACAAUGGCUGGUACAGAGAGUGGCGAGCCUGUGAGGGUGAGCGAAUCUCGGAAAGCCGGUCUCAGUUCGGAUUGGGGUCUGCAACUCGACCUCAUGAAGUCGGAGUCGCUAGUAAUCGCAGAUCAGCAACGCUGCGGUGAAUACGUUCCCGGGGCUUGUACACACCGCCCGUCAAGUCAUGAAAGUUGGUAACACCCGAAGCCGGUGGCCUAACCGUUGUGGGGGAGCCGUCGAAGGUGGGACUGGUGAUUAGGACUAAGUAGU